This 240-nucleotide unclassified non-coding RNA is filed under the name soil metagenome. Its description in RNAcentral is "partial contains 5.8S ribosomal RNA, internal transcribed spacer 2, and large subunit ribosomal RNA". The record is from RNAcentral.
AAGACUAUAGACCUGCGGAGUACCUGCGGAAGGAUCAUCAUAGGUUGAGUGUAGGCUAGCGCCGUGCCUGCCCCGCCCGGUGUCUGCCUCCGUCUGUCCGCGAACUGUAUGAAGAGAUUGCGGGGAGAGCUGGGUCGGUGGAGUCCUCUGCCGCCCACGCCCCGCACCAAGUCUUAGUCCUGUCUAUUCAUCCGACUGUAUCCGAGGCACCGCGCCUCGUCUUGACAUAUUACAACUUUU